RNAcentral lists this small RNA (101 nucleotides) under Pseudomonas sp. URMO17WK12:I11. RNAcentral describes it as "ykkC-yxkD". It matches the Rfam family "Guanidine-I riboswitch aptamer". Rfam says of the family: This family represents a conserved RNA structure found upstream of the ykkC and yxkD genes in Bacillus subtilis and related genes in other bacteria. The function of this family is unclear although it has been suggested that it may function to switch on efflux pumps and detoxification systems in response to harmful environmental molecules. Lineage: Bacteria; Pseudomonadati; Pseudomonadota; Gammaproteobacteria; Pseudomonadales; Pseudomonadaceae. The record is from RNAcentral.
GCAAUGGCUGACUAGGGUUCCGGCUCGCUUGUGCGAGUGGCUGGUCCGAGAGUUGGCGACCUCCAGUUGAGGUUACACGGCGGGACAAAAGCCCGGGAGAC